CCUACGGGAGGCAGCAGUGAGGAAUAUUGGUCAAUGGGCGGGAGCCUGAACCAGCCAAGCCGCGUGAGGGAAGAAGGUACAGCGUAUCGUAAACCUCUUUUGUCAGGGAACAAAGGCGGGGACUAGUCCCCGGAUGAGGGUACCUGAAGAAAAAGCAUCGGCUAACUCCGUGCCAGCAGCCGCGGUAAUACGGAGGAUGCGAGCGUUAUCCGGAUGUAUUGGGUUUAAAGGGUGCGCAGGCGGCCUGUUAAGUCAGCGGUAAAAGCCCGGGGCUCAACCCCGGCGAGCCGUUGAAACUGGCGGUCUGGAGUUGGAGAGAAGUACGCGGAAUGCGCGGUGUAGCGGUGAAAUGCUUAGAUAUCGCGCAGAACCCCGAUUGCGAAGGCAGCGUACCGGCUCCACACUGACGCUGAGGCACGAAAGCGUGGGUAUCGAACAGGAUUAGAUACCCCUGUAGUC
Molecule: ribosomal RNA, 459 nt
Filed under: uncultured bacterium
Lineage: Bacteria
Description: partial 16S ribosomal RNA
Rfam family: Bacterial small subunit ribosomal RNA
Source: RNAcentral